CACUCUUCCCCCGCGCUGUGUGUGUGUGUGCCUCUCUCUCCCCACCACUCCAUUAUCACUUUCUUUCUCUCUCUCAGAGAGAAGACAAUGCCUAUUUCUGGAGAUCCCUCGUCUUCUUCGACAACAAUCAGACACCAACCCAUGAACUUCCCACCAUUUCCCACCGCCGACGAGCCUCUAAUCCCCAAACCUAGCCGCAUCUAUAAAUCCGCCAUGUCUACCUUCUUCCUCUUACCUUACCAACACUUAGCCGCAUCUAUAAAUCCGCCAUGUCUACCUUCUUCCUCUUACCUUCAUCAUCCAACGAACCCAACAACAGAAGAAAGGGGAAGAAACCAAACCCUUUCACCCAAACGACGUCGUCCUUUCGCAGCCUCGGCUGCACCUCCUCCGCCUCUCAGCGAGUUUCCGUCCCGGCCGUGAUCCACUGCCCCCCCCCCGCCUCUCAGCGAGUUUCCGUCCCGGCCGUGAUCCGCUCCUCCGCGAAUUGGGACGCGAGUGAUGCCAAAAGUAAGAAGACGAAGAGCAAGGGCAGUAGCUACUGUGGCGGUGGCUCGGUUAAGAUCUUGAGCGAGGCUGAUAGAAGCGGUUGCGGUCCGGUUCCUGAUGUUUGGUGCGGACCCGGUGUCGGGUUUUCCACGGAUGCGGUGGUCUCCGGCACCGUCGAAUCGGAGCCUCCGAGAAGGAAUAUUCCGGCGAGACGCAAGAUCGAUGGAGAGGUCUAUUAUCACAAAGCUUCUGUCUUUUUAUUACACAAGUCUUGUCUUAAAACUCAAACUGUUACAUUCUUUGCAGGGCUCCUCUGUUCCUCCCCGGCGAUCUCAUAAUCAUGAAACUAGUCUUUACUUUGACUCUGAUAUGACAUCGAGGGAUGAACAGACGCAGACGCUUUUCUCUGAUAGAUAUCAUCGUCAUCUACGACAACCUUACCCUAAUGGACUCGACGAGGUAAGAGUGUGUCCUUGACUAUGUUUCACUUCAGGUCUUAAGGGUCUUUGUGUUUGUGUGCAUUGUUUUCAUUUAGUUGUUUUGUUUGUAGAUGAUGAUGAUACAGAAUGGUUUUGUAAUGGGAAGGAUGUUAAACUCUCACGAUCACUUCCGUGACUUGAGGCUCAACGUCGAUGGCAUGUCUUACGAGGUAAUGUUCCUUUCUUACAAGGAGUAUUUAACUCUUACGUAUUUAAAAAAAAAAAAAAGUUUUGUGUGUUGUUCUGUUGUGUUAAAAAACAGCAACUUCUGGAGCUUGGUGAUAGAAUUGGGUAUGUCGACACUGGACUUAAUGAAAAACAGAUCAAAACCUGUCUCUUGAGAGUCAACCCAUCUCACAAAGCUACAUCACUAGAAGAUAGAAAGUGCAGCAUCUGUCAAGUAAGUCCCUUAUGUGGUUUAAUUACUCAGAUUCACUCUCUUUUGUAACAACCCACGUUCAUGUGUUUGUUUGCCGACAGGAAGAGUAUGAGGGUAAGGACGAGGUAGGGAAGUUAAGAUGUGGGCACAAGUACCAUAUCCACUGUGCGAGACAAUGGCUGUUAAGGAAGAACUCUUGUCCCGUCUGUAAAACUAUGCCAUUUGCCUAAAGUCUUAGAUAGAUAGAUAUGUCUCCUCCUCUCCUUUGAUGAUGAUUUGCUAUUUUAUGUCUGAAAACAAAACUGGUUGAUGAAAGAUUUGUAAGGAACAGCAAAUGUUAUUACUUACCUAUGGAAGAAGUCACAGAGAGACAUUGUGAACCCCACAUUGCUUGUGGGUUAGAUCAAUCUUUUUGGUUUGGUGAUUAAGAGGUCGGCAACUACAAAAGUGUUGGGUAGAUCUAACAUUGUUAAAUCACAUGAAAAUGAUGAAACUGUUACGUGCAAGUAACAUCUAGAGUUAACUGCUUAAAUAAUGUGGUCAAUGCAAUGAUGCUAAUGUCCUAACGAAAUCUUCAAGGGCUCAUCAAUAUCUCAUACACAUGGUUUGAUUCACAACACUUCUUUAAUCUAUAGACUAUAGCACAAUUUUCUUACUUAGGUUUACUCGCGUCGCGACAUCUGAUGCAAGCUGUAAGGUCGAAAGAGGUAUUGAGCUAUAAGAAACUAAACCAAGGGAGAAGAGUUUCUAGUUUCUUACAACAUAAGAAUGCACUUGCUUUCAUUAGGAUCUGGCAAUAGAAUGAUGUGUUUAGCGACAUCUGAUGCAAGCGUCAGGCUUGGCAGUUGUAAGCGCCUCCGUAGGGUUCGAACCAACUCGAUGAGGCAAUGAGAGAAGGAAGAAGAUGAAGUUUGAGAUUGUUUUAUACUAUUGUGGAGUUUCAGCUAAUUUAGAAUAUCUUCCACUGUAGCACGAAGAGUGAUUGAAUCUAGCGAUUCCUCUGUUAUUACCUCCUAUGAGUCAACAAUGUCAACUCGUCGCAGAUUGCAAGCGGCAGAGGAAGGAUGGUUGUUGAUUCACCGGUCUACUGAGAGAGACAGCAAAUGGAGUAUGAGGAAAGAGGGAGAGCCGAGAGGAAAUGAUCGCCAAAGAUGCUCUAAAGUCACUUGGUUAGAAGACGAUGAUGCUUACGGAAUAAAAAAAUGAAUGAAGCGAUGAGAUCCUGCCUGAUCUAGUCAAAGUAUGUCGUUAAAAAGUCAAACUUCUUUGUUCUGGUUUGUUGCCACGAGGGAAAUAUUGUUACUAUAAUAAAAGCAAAACAAAAUUAAAUUGAAAAGAAAAAAAAGAAAAACAGAACAGAAGAGAGAGGAGAAAACGCAAUUGGUUACGAAUAUUUUAAAAAAAAGAAACAAAACAAAUAUGGCCUUUGGGUGUUUGCCACAAAACACCUUAGGAUUUGUUGCCCCCUUCCUUCCCAAUUUUGCAGCCAUUUUUUACUCUUCCACCUGAACAACAGGAGACCAAUCAAGAAGAACCCUAACUUUUUCUUCAGGGACUUGCAAUUGCGAAAGGUUUCAUCUUUUUUUCGAAUAUGGGCGGGGGCGAUCUCCACAUGUCCGUAGCAGACAUCAGGUGAGGGAACACUGGAUUCAGUUUCAUUGAUUUGCAUUCCAAUUUCUCCUUUUCAUGCUGUCAAGCUUUAAGGUUUAUGCGAGGUGAAAAAGUUUCGAACUUUCAAUACGCAGAGAUGAUUCUGGGUUGAAUUUAUACCUGCCCAGAUCGAUUUUUCUUACCAAAAGUGGACCCUUUGAUCUUUGUUUAUGUUUGCUUAAGGUUAAAGGCUGUUUCUUUACUGAUUUGCUAGGAUGGAGAAUGAGCCUGAUGACGAUAAUGUUGCGGAGAUUGACGUGAGCGAUGAAGAGAUUGAUGCGGAAGACCUUGAGAGACGGAUGUGGAAGGAUCGCGUCAGGCUCAAAAGAAUCAAAGAACGAACUAAAAUCGAUUCGUCUCAAGCGAAGGAGACGCCUAAGAAAGUCUCUGAACAAGCGCAGAGGAAGAAAAUGUCUAGAGCGCAAGACGGUAUACUCAAGUACAUGUUGAAGCUCAUGGAAGUCUGCAAAGUCCGCGGCUUCGUCUACGGCAUCAUACCCGAGAAGGGGAAGCCUGUGAGCGGCUCCUCCGACAAUAUAAGAGCAUUCGUCUACGGCAUCAUACCCGAGAAGGGGAAGCCUGUGAGCGGCUCCUCUGACAAUAUAAGAGCUUGGUGGAAAGAGAAAGUGAAGUUUGAUAAGAACGGUCCUGCCGCGAUUGCUAAAUAUGAAGAGGAGUGUUUAGCCUUUGGGAAGUCAGAUGGAGAUAGAAACUCUCAGUUUGUUCUGCAAGAUUUGCAAGAUGCUACUUUAGGGUCUUUGUUGUCUUCUUUGAUGCAGCAUUGUGAUCCUCCGCAGAGGAAGUAUCCGUUGGAGAAAGGGACUCCUCCGCCUUGGUGGCCGAGUGGAGAUGAAGAGUGGUGGGUGAAGCUUGGACUGGGUAAAGGCCAGAGUCCUCCUUAUAAGAAGCCGCACGAUCUCAAGAAGAUGUGGAAAGUUGGGGUUUUGACGGCUGUGAUUAAUCAUAUGUCGCCUGAUAUUGCGAAGAUUAAGAGGCAUGUUCGUCAGUCUAAGUGUUUGCAGGAUAAGAUGACUGCUAAAGAGAGCGCGAUUUGGUUGGCGGUUUUGAACCAGGAGGAGUCUCUUAUCCCGCAGCCUAGCAGUGAUAAUGGAGCUUCUAAUGUAACCGAGACACACCGGAGAGGUAAUAACGCUGAGAGGAGGAGAACUGUGAUCAAUAGUGAUAGUGACUAUGAUGUUGAUGGGAGGGAAGAGGCUUCAGGUUCAGUUUCGUCUAAAGACAAUAGAAGAAAACAAACUCAAAAAGAACAACCAGCAGCCACUUCACAGACAGUAAGAGAUCAAGAUAAAUCAGAGAAACACCGGAGAAGGAAAAGACCUAGAAGAACUGUCACUCAACAAGAGGAAGAACAGCCAGAAACUGAACAAAGAAUUGUAUUACCUGAUAUGAAUCAUGUUGAUGCUCCUCUGCUAGAAUAUAAUAUCAACGGUACUACUCAUCACCAAGAGGAAGGUGUUUUAGAACCAAACAUCGCCUUAGGACCAGAGGAGAACAGUCUGGAAAUGGUGAUCCCUGAGUUUGAUAACAACUAUACUUAUCUUCCUCCUGUCAGUGGACAAGCUAUGAUACCUGUAGAGGAAAGGCCAAUGCUUUACGGACCAAACACUAACCAGGAGUUGCAGUUUGGGUCAGGUUAUAACUUUUAUAAUCCCUCUGCAGUGUUUGUGCACAAUCAGGAAGAAGACCUUAUCCAUACACAGAUAGAAAUGAACCCACAAGCACCGCCUCAUAACGGUGGAUUCGAGGCUCCAGGAGGAGUACUUCAACCCCAUAAUUUACUUGGGAAUGAAGACAGCGUCACAGGAAGAGAUUUGCCACCUCAGUUUCAGAGCGAUCAAGAUAAACUCUUGGACAGUAACAUUCUAUCUCCAUUCAGUGACUUGGCGUUUGAUAGCAACACCUUUUACUCUGGGUUUGAUUCCUAUGGUGUUGAUGAUCACUUGUCAUGGUUUGGAGCUUAGUUUCUUUACAUUUUUUGUUGGGAGGUUACAUGGUAAGUUUGUGUCACAUAUCUUAUUUAUUGUACUCUUUGUUUAUCAGUUUUCAUGAAUUGUCUUAAAUAUUUCUUUUACUGGGUAUGUUGCAGGUUCAAAGGAACAUGGCAAUAGUCUGACUCGUACAGUUACAUUCUCUACUGCUGAUCUUAGAUUUGUUAAGAGAAACAAUUGUUUUCCUUAUGAAUAAUUUGGCAGACACUUCUGCUUGAAAGCAGUGAGUGUGUCUUUUGUAAAUUAGCCCUGUGAAUGAUGAUCUUUUUGUCUGUUCAAGUUUCAUCUUCAUAUUUUCAUGUACUAUCUGAAUUUGAAUCUCUCUGUGUUUUUUGAAGGGUAAGUAUGAACUUGAUGAUGAGGUCUUUGACCUUAACCUUCACAUGCUUUGCAAAGAUGGUUGAUAGAAAACUUGUCCACCGAAGCUUUGUUAUUAAAAAAGACCAUAAAUUUCCAUGUGGGAAACAUGGAAUAAAGCUACAUCACUUCACCUAACUAUUAGCUUUUGCUGCUCUGCGCUUCUCUUCUUAGUAUGUUAGGUGACCCUCACGUCUACAAAGCUAACCAACUCUGACCCUAAAUCCUUGCGGCUAUUGGUGUUGCCUCCUAGAUUCAAGAACAAACAUGGCAAUUCCAAAUCAUACAUCCCAUUGAACUUAUAGUAUACUCAAUUUGAAAUCCACUGAAAUGAGUCUCAGCAAGUCUUGAUGAUAAGACACACCUCACGGCUUCCACAACUUCGUAGUGCAAUCUUCACUAUAGGUAGCGAUAAGGUGUCUAUGUGGGUGGUGUGCUACGCCUAUCACAUCUUUCUCAUGCACCUCCAAUAAACAUAAAACUUUUCAGACACCCAAGUCUAAAUGCAGCAUACAUAUCAGACGAUGUAUAAACACAUGAAGCUUCACUACUCUAGUAGGUUAAAUGUUAUAAACUUACCAUCAUAAAAUGCUCAAGUCCACCGGUUUGAUAGCUGAAGCAGUACAAUUUCCUGCAAGUUAGCGCAUACCAGUGUUAGGAGCAUCAAAAGAAAUGAACCUUCAGACCAUCCUUUAAAAUUUUUGUAAAUAACAAAUUUGAUGAGAGGGUAUAGUAGUAAUACUUGUCUUCACCAAUGCAGUAUAUCCAAUCUCCUUUUGUAGGUACACAUGCUGCUAAAAAAUCUCCUCCUUCCCUCUUACCGGAUGAGAAACUCUUCACAACCUGCAAAAGGACUAAAAUAAUAAACAUGUGAACUGACUAAGACUUGCCGUGUCACAGAUUACACUGGUUCUCGAAAUUCUCCUGUCCUUGCGGUGUCAUGAUGUAUAUAGAUGAUGAUGUUGGUUUUGUUGACAUAUUAAAACGGCUGACAAUUUUUUUUUAAAAAGAAAACGAUAUGAAGUAGCAUGCAGAGUUCAUUAGAUGCCCACCUUGAUGUUGUUGUCACUUUAGAGCCUGGCCUACCGAAGCCAUUAACCGUGAAGGUGGUACCACAGUAACCUCGGCAGCAACAGCUAACAGAAGAGAAAACCAAUUAGAUAAUCUUGAGUAAAUACAGAGCAAGAGAAAAACAAAUAUUCAUAACCAUUUAACAGGACAAAAGUUCUCUCAUAUAGUCAUGUCACAAAAUAUUUCUAGAACAUCACUUAGUUCCUUCAGGUGAUUAAUCCCAAAACACCUUACUAAGAAAAACAAGUGAAGAUAGAGUCUUCACUUAAAAAAGAGAGAAGAAAUGGGCCAACCUUGAGCAAUCUGUGCACGUUUUCUUUCUUUAGUCGAGUUUCCCCAUAAGCCUAAGAUACAAUUGCAAUAUCGUAAUAUCAGCGAAAUACGAUUUUCAAAUACACAAGGAAAUAAUAACAUGAGAGCAACCGCUCUCUAUGCAUAACAUGAACAAGGACUAGGACACAAAGCACCUCAACAGACCAGACAGAAAAGUCAAAUCCAUCAACAUGCAAAGAGGGAGUUGAUAAGUGGAAAGAAGCUUUUGUACUAACAAACACGGAACAUGUGUUAUAGUUUAGUAACCUUAUCUACAAACAACUUCAUAUCUAAAGGAUGCUAAGCUCCUACUUAAGACUUGAACAAAACAGAGUACAGAAAAGCAAACGAUAAAAACAACUUCAUAUCUAAAGGAUGCUAAGCUCCUACUUAAGACUUGAACAAAAUAGAGUACAGAAAAGCAAACGAUAUAUAUAUAUAAUUUCUAGUUGAUAUACCAUCAACAUUGGGUAAAAGCGCUGAACAGUAGCGGACAACCAUGCUUAGGUGACAUAACAAGCACAUAAGAAACACUCAACAAUAACAUGAUACUGAAAAGUCAAGUACAUAGCUUGCCAUACCUCAUGCGGAUCAAAAUAGCUUCUGACAAGAAGAUGCUCCAUCCGCGCAAAUACCUUUCAGUUGCUCCUGCUUCAUAACACCCAUCACCUGAGUUUGCCUCAAGAUAGCUCGGGCAGUGUCCAACUCUCGAAGUUCUAUCAUCUCCAUUACAAUCUGAAACCGAAUGACAGAUGAUGCUUGAACAAAAACUUACAAUGAAAAAUCACUACUUUAUACACUUGAUACAAAUUCAAAAGAGAAAGAGAAAGAAACAAACCUGUUCAUAAAGGUCUUCUAAUUUAUUCCUGGGAAGCUUGAGCUGAGAGUCUUGAGGAAGAACCGAGUCCCAUCUUCCACUAUUAAUAUCAUAAACAAAGGCCUCGACGCUGUCUACUGUGUUUAAAGAAACCUGACACUCGCUAUGUAAUGUCUGGAACGUUUGAUUCAAGGAGUUCUCUUUGCAGAAACUGAAGCACAAUCUUUAUUACACUGACAUAAUAAAACACAACAUAGCUCUCUGUCAGGGACACAGUAAAAAAUAGUUAAUAGUACUCUCUCAUGGGAUAAUUCAAUAUCAUCAUUAACUAAAAAAGAGAGUAGCUUUCGACAGAACCAUGCUUAACAGAAGUUCUGGGUAGAUUAAAAAUCAGAACUUUAGGUAUAUGGAGAGUAUGGAACAAAAGGAAAAUGGGUUACGGUAGAAGAAUGAAAUAAAAGUCUUACUCUCGAGCUUCGAUUUUGAGCGCCAUAGUCAGUGGUUUUGUGUGUUUCGCCGGAGCUCCGACGUGAAGGAGGCAAGAGUUGAGCAGACAAACGCAAUGGGGUUUUGAAUUCCAGUUAACGAUAAAAAGAAGAAUUGGCGGGUCAAAAUUAAAUAUUUUAAAAACCUUGGGGCCUAAUUUGUAAUUUUCUUAAACCUUUUUAUAAAAAGAAUUGUUACCUACACUUUUUACACCCUCUAGUCUAGUUUAAAGAGAAAGACUACUACUAUCAAUACAGAAACACGUUCUUCAACUCUAGCUAGAGUCAAUGGUCUUUUUACCAUCAUCUUAUUGCUCUCAGUUGGAUUUUACCUCGAUGCCUUGAGAUGUAUAUACUGACUGAAGCUGAGAAAGUCUUUGUUCCGAGUGAAGGCUUCUCUCCUUCCGGAUAUCCCAUGGAGAUAGUCGUCCCCUCUAAACUGAGACGAGUUCGAAUUAGAAUCAGUUCCAGAACAUCUCGGUCUCUUUCUCUUAUCAUGAGCUUUGAUGUUACAUCUGAUAAGGUAGGCAAAUUAUUUUGUGACCAUUCUUUUUACUGUGGGACGGUAUCACGACCAGGUGCCUUAACCGUCUACCUCUUACCACUCACAUGGACGCUCCAACCACUAUGCUUUUAAAUUCGACAAGCCUAAGUUUUCGGUGUCCCCUCAAAGUCCUUCCAAUUCUAUGAGAAAAGUCUAUUUUAUAUAUUUCUUGGUACUCUCAAAUGAACAACAAGUUGAUAUGGCCGAGUUGGUCUAAGGCGCAGGAUUAAGGUUCCUGUCCGAAAGGGCGUGGGUUCAAAUACCACUGUCAACAAAUUAUUUUUUGGGUGUGUUUUUAAUACGCUGACAUGUGACACUGUGACAGUGUGGCUCCGCCCGUUAUUUCAUUAGUUGUCUUUUUUUCUUCUUUUUUUUUAAUUGCUGUCCCUUUGGAAGGUACCGAGUCUAGUGACUAGUGAGCAAUAUUGUUGCCUGAAGUAAAUAUCUAUGCUGAAGUUGUGGCGCUGAGAUUAAAUGUAACGGAAGGACCAUUAGGUUUGUUAAUCACACACUUCCAAUAGAGGCAUCUAGCGGAACAGAAGAGAUACAUUGGAAGGUCGAGAACCAACAAUUCGAUAUCUAUUAGUGUCACAAUUGUCAAAUGGAUCUUCUGAAAAUAUUUUUGUUUAUUCAAGUAUAGGUAAUUCACAUUUGCUUAUUUUGGUUCAACAUGGUUAAUGUUAGUGUCAAAUAUAAUAGAUGGUUCAUGGAACAUUUUGAUCAAAUUUUCAUGAUAAAAUUCAAUGAUUCAACAAACGUGAGGGAGGAGUAAAACGUUUAUUAAUGGAGGCAGUCGCAGGCUAUAAAUGUAAAUGUAAUUUUCACCAUUUUAUGUGCAUUACAAUCUUUUUUUUUUGAGUUAUGGAAUUUUUUUUGCAUUAUAAAUUUUCACCAUUUUAUGUGCAUUACAAUCUUUUUUUUUUGAGUUAUGGAAUUUUUUUUGCAUUAUAAAUUUUCACCAUUUUAUGUGCAUUACAAUCUUUUUUUGAUUGAGACUAUGGUUCUGUUACACUUGUGUGUUCUUUGACUUGCAGCAUACGAGUCUCCAACGAGUUAGGAGCAGGGAAUCCACAAGUGGCAAAACUGGCUGUAUAUGUCAUUGUAGGCAUAGCAGUUGCCCAAGGUAUCGUGGUGGUAACGGUUUUGUUGUCGGUUCUAAAGGUCCUAGGCCGAGCUUUUAGCAGUGACCCGAAAAUCAUCUCUUACGCCGCAUCUAUGAUACCUAUUGUCGCAUGUGGAAACUUUCUUGAUGGUCUCCAAUGCGUUCUCUCAGGUUCUUGUACACUCAAUCAUAUGCUCUGGAAUUUAAAAAAAAAAGAUUGGUUUUGGUUCCUCCUUGCUUAUAUAUGUCCGGUUUAUCCUGGUUUGGUUUUUGGUUUAGGGGUUGCUAGAGGAUGUGGAUGGCAAAAAAUUGGAGCGUGUGUAAAUCUUGGUUCGUACUAUCUUGUUGGAGUUCCGUUAGGGUUAUUACUUGGAUUCCAUUUCCACAUUGGUGGUCGGGUAAUAAUCUUUAAACUUAGCCAAGACUAAUUUUUAUAGAAACUAUAACAUGUGUGAUGCUAUGUCAUUUGUGUAGGGGCUUUGGCUUGGAAUUUUUUUUCUAAUUCUUUUUUUAAGUGCUUUGUCUUUCCUUGGUCACUAUAUUCACAAACUGGGAUAAAGAGGUAGGUUUGUUUUUAACUUCUAAAGAGAUUGAUGUUCAGUUUUAUGUAUAAGCGAAUUUGAAACUACGUCUGAUGUGAUUCUGCUUGCUUCUUGUUUUAAUACGUAUAGGCAAAGAAAGCUACAAAGAGAGUUGGGUCUUCAGAUGGCCAAGAUGAUAAUGUCGAACAAUCAAUUCCAAAGUGAAGAAAAGCAUUGGGUUUGCAAAUGAGCAUAUCUUUUAACGUUGAUAGUGAAUAAUGAGUAUUUGAUUCUUGUAGAGUUCUUUAUGAGACAAUAGUCCAUAUAUGCUACUAAGUCAGGGGCUAAGCCAUUAAGACCCAAAUAACAAUUCCCUUGAAGUUUAUACGACCAAAAAUUUCGUAGGCCCAUUAUUUAAGGAAAUAUACACCCCAACUAUCGUUUUUCUUAUAAGAACAGCCCAAGCAUCAUUUGGGACCAUGUUUGAACGAUCAAAUAAUUGAGCUAUUCGAAAAAAAGUAAAAAGAAACUAUUUAUGUGCUUGACAUUUGAGUUUUUUUUUUUUGUAUUUUAACCACAAUCAUAAAAUCAAUUUUGGAAUUUGCAUGGUCAUGUAUUGGUUUGUAAGUGUUUUCCUUGUACUAAUAUGACAACAUUUUACCAAACUCAACCCUAUUUACACGGUGGGUAAAAAGUUCAAAAUAAGUUAAAACGUCGGCAUGAAUUGUGAUAGAGACCAGACUCUUUGUGACUUGUGAGGUAAUAAUACGACAAGGUCCUUCGUCCUUGUAAUAAAUCUAGCCAUAGAUUCUCAUGUAGGGUAAUACUCUUCUGUUUUGGCGCCCACAUCAUCUGACAUGAUCUUGACCGCACAUAAAUAAAACUGUUUCAGUAUCUCGUGUUUUUACUUGGAAUUGUAUUAGGGUUAACAGUUAACGAUUACGUUUAGACAACGAGAACACCUUUGUACAGUUUAAAACAAAAUGGUAGGCCUGAUACAAUCAAUUUCAAAGUUAGGUCUUGAAAAUGUAGUGGACUAGUGGUUGGAAAGAACAAUAAUUUAUGGUAAAAUGAUAAAUCUUGAAGGAAGAGAGGAGCACAAAAGCCAAGAGGGACGCAUGUGACGCGUAGGGGAACUAUACACUAAACAAUGUCAGAUUCUUCCUAUGUCUUUUCAGAUGCUCCCACCUGUUUUUUUCCCCUAUUUUCAUUUUAUUAUAUUUUUCUUCUACAACGAAUACUUCUAUAAUUACAACUCUCUCUAUCCACCACUUCUCCCAAAACUUGACUUAUCUUCUCUUUCUCUCCUCUCUAAUAAAUCUGAUUAUAGUUAGUUAGGGUUCAUCAUCUUUGAUUUCUAGGGUUCUUUCUAUUGUCUCUAACAGAGGCUUAUGCUUGUGUUGUUUAGAUCAUGUUAUUUAAGGUUUAUUGAGUCUACAUAGUUCCUCAGAUCAGAUCUAUAUCUUAGAUGGUUAUUGAUUUGACAAGCAUCUUUGUUUCUCGAUAGAUCUUGGCCUUCCAAAACGAAUUUCCCGAGAACAAAGAAGUAGGGCUCCUUAUAGUUCAAACGAGAGUUCAGAAGGGUAAAGAAAAGCUGCUAAGCUAUGAAUCCCAUAAGCCCUAAUCCUUAUUUAUAAAAAGGAUUUGGUUAUAUGGCUUACAUAUCUCAGGAGCUUUAACUUGCCCUUUAAUUGCUUUUACUCUUCUUUGGAUUGAAGGGAGCUCUACAUCUUCUUUCACUUUACGCAAAUUUAUUUUUGUACUGUAAUGAAUUCAUUGCUAAUUUUUCUUUUUUUUCUUUUUCUUUUUGCAGUGACAUUUCUGAAGGAGUAUUUCUAUGGUGAUGGUUUAUGUAUGCUGUGGCGUGGAAUUGAUUUUCUUGCUUGUCUGUAAUUAGGGUUUAUGUAAAUGUGUCUGUAAUAUGCGAAGAUCCAAAUUUAUAUUUCAACUAAUGCAAUUACUUUCUGUUUGUGAUUUUAAAUUCCCUGUUCAAUAUUACUACUCAAUUGUUGCGAAAACAAUCUCUUCCGUAUCAGAUCAGAUAUUUGGUAUCAUAGGUACUCCUUAAUUUUAUUUUGAGAAUCAUACCAUUUUUGUAUGACUGUUGACUGUGUAAGAAGACUUCAAAAAAAAAAAUAUUACAGACAAAUUCAUUUAUUGAAAAUUUUAGAUUAACCAAAAAAAUUUAUGCUCCUCCUUUAGUACAGUUCAGUGUUGGAAUGUGAGGAACAGCCAAGUUCGAAGUGUAUUUGAGUUAAUUGAACAGUAUUUUUCUUUACAGUCAUUUCACAUUGUUAUUUAAUUGUAAGGUAAGGUUUCUCGAAGAUAUGGACAGAGCCCUUUUUUAUCGACAUAUUCACCAACGCAAGUUUAAAUUCAUGCCCAUCCAAAAGGCCCAACAUUAAGGCUCAAAUAUCAGCCCCCUGAUUUGCUCCAUAAUUAUCUCACCAUCGAAAUACUUUCCUUCAUGCAUGAUCAGUUGCUCGCAACGACGUGGUCACGGCCUUCGGCCCAUCGCCACACCUAUAUUCUAUUAUGCUGACACUUAUAUACUGCACUAACUUGUACUGGAGUGCAGACGGAAGCACACUGUUCAAUGGAUAGACAAACGGGUGUGAUUAGAGUCUGGUCAUUGGUCGUUACUAAAUGAUUAUAUUAAAUUAUUUUAAAAUACAUCUAUGUUGUGGUUAAAAAGAUAGCAUAUCUUAUUUCACGAAGAACUAAUUAACCGUAUUUUAAAUCAGUAGUUAAACCUUUUUAUACAUUAAUUCUGCUAAAUGUUUAAAAAAGAAAAUUUAGGUUCACCGAAUUCACCUCCCCUCUUAUUACCAAUCAAAAUACCACAUAGAUUAAUAAUAAAAUACAUUUUUUUUUUUUAAAAAAAAUCUAAAAUAAUUGAAAAAAAAUAAAGACGCUCAUUUUAAUGACGCUUACGCCACUAACUAAACCCUAAAUCUUAAAUUCUAAACCCUAAACCUUAAAUCUAAACCCAAACCCUAAAUUCUAAAUCCAAACUCUAAACCCUAAACCCUAAACCCAAACCCUAUAUCUUAAAUCUAAACCCUAAACCCAAACCGUAAACUCUAAACCCAAACCCUAGACCUUAAACUCAAACCCUAGAUCCUAAACCCAAACCUAGACUCUAAAUCCAAAUCUUAAACCCUAAAAAAACAUCAUCAACAUUAACCCAAACCUUUACGAUAUAGGAUUUGGGUUUAGGAUUUACGAUUUGAAUUUAGGGUGUAGGGAUUAGGUUUGGAUAUAUGGUUUGAGUUUAGAGUCUAUAAUUUGGGUUUAGGAUNNNNNNNNNNNNNNNNNNNNNNNNNNNNNNNNNNNNNNNNNNNNNNNNNNNNNNNNNNNNNNNNNNNNNNNNNNNNNNNNNNNNNNNNNNNNNNNNNNNNGCCUGGUUCGGCGGUCCCAUUGGGCGCUCUUGGUUGCUUGUGUUCAGCCACGCAUCAUGCCAUACCUGAAUAGACUGGCCAUUCCCCACUAGCCAUCCCAAGUUUUUAAUGAGUAAAUCUCGGCCGAGGAGGACACUUCUCCAGCCGUGGGACAUUGUAGAAGUUGGGGAGGCGAGGAGUAUGUUAUUAUUGUCAGGACAAUACUUCCCCAUGAGUACUCGACUGAGAAGGCUAUCUGGGUUUUGUAAAAGGCGCCAGCUUGUUUUCGCAAGCAGAGCGGUGUUGAAGGUUUGAAAAUCUCGGACUCCCAGUCCUCCCAGUGCCUUCGGUUUAGCCAUCGACGUCCACGAAACCCAUGCCAUUUUCUUUGUGUGUUCAUUGUUGUCCUACCAAAAUCGUGUAACUGCUGAUUGGAUUCUGCUGCAGAGGGAGACUGGUAAGGCAAAGUAGGACAUAGAGUAAGAAGGAACUGCCGAGAGAACACUUUGAAGCAUGACUAGUUUCCCGGCUGAGGAGAGAAACUUUGUGGAGAAACUUCAAGCCUUUUGUUUGAUCCGAUCGACAAUAGAGGAAAAGAGAUCCCGCUUCUUCCGGCCAAAAGCCUCUGGUAGCCCUAGAUAUUUCCCGGUGUCGCCCUCUUUAUGUAUUUGUAGCUCAUCUCUAACCAUUCGCUUCAGGUCCGGCGGUGACUUCCGUGAGAAGGUGACUGCAGAUUUAUCUUUGUUUAUGGACUGGCCAGAUGCUUCCUCAUAUUUGGCUAAGAUAGUCUUGAGUGCUGUACAAUUUUCCCGGUUUGAUUCGAGGAAAAACAUUGUAUCAUCCGAAAAAAGGAGAUGGUUGAUCCUAGGGCAUGUCCUAGCCACACGCAAUCCUCUGAGAGAACCGUCCUCUUGCGCCCUGUUACAUAAUCCCGAGAGGACCUCGCUACACAUAAUGAAAAUGUAGGGGGAAAGAGGGUCUCCUUGACGGAUACCUCGACUCGGUACUACCUUCCCUCUAGGCAAGCCGUUAAUAAGGAAGGAGUACGUAACAGAUGUGAUGCACUACAUUAUACAGUCCACAAGUUUUUGGUGGAAUCCCAACCGAAGUAACACAAGAGAAAUGAAUUCCCAUUCUAGGCGAUCAUAUGCCUUACUCAUAUCCGUUUUGACAGCCAUAGCACAACGUUGUUCCGCCUUUGAAGUUUUGAGGUAAUGAAGAACCUCGUGGGUUAUCAGCACAUUAUCCCCGAUUGCUCGGCCCGGUACGAAGACUGAUUGGUUUUCAGAGAUGAGCUUUCCCAGCAGGGGCUGGAUUCCUCGCGUGAGGAGCUUAGAAGAAAUCUUGUAGUACACAUUACACAGCGCUAUGGGGCGAUAAUCUGAUACCUUCUGCGGAUUUGUAAUCUUGGGAAUAAGCCGGAUAUGUGUGUCGUUGAUGCUUUCUGGGAGGGAUUGUCCAUCGAAAACCCCCUGCACUUCGUGAAUAAUAUCCGGUCCUAUGUUCUCCCAGUGGGUAUGGAAGAAGCCCGCCGAAAAUCCGUCUGGUCCUGGCGCUUUGUCCGCAUUGAUAGAAAAGCACGCUUCGCGGAUUUCCCAGGCAGUUGGGAUUGCUGUAAGGAGAGAGUUCUCUUCGUCGGACACUAUCGGUCGGAGCGCUUGCCUGACUGUCUCUUCUCUUUCUCCCGGGCAGGCGGAGAAAAGCUUUUGGAAAUAGGAGUCGACCACUUGCACUAUUUCAUUUUCUUUAUGCACCAUUUGUCCGUCCUCUCCCUCUAACACUGAGAAGGCAUUUGCGCAUUUGCGGGCUUUGGUGAUAGCGUGAAAAUAGCCAGUGUUUCUGUCUCCGAGCUUCAGCCAUAGAAGGCGGCUGCGCUGCCUCCAAUACUCUUCCUCGGCCAGGUAUGCAACAUUGAGCUUCUCGGCAAUGCUUUGGAUAAGAGAAGUAUCAUUUACUGGACUUGCUAGUGCCACAUCUAGCUCUCGUUUCUUCUGUUCGAUGGUUGCUUGACUAUUUCUCUGCUGGGUUUUAUUCCAUGCCGAAAUUGCACUCCGCGUAGAAGCAAGCUUAGCGCUCACCGCAGUAACUUGCGUAUCACGCCAUGUAUCUGAGAUUACUUUCUUGGCUUCCUCGUUUUUGCAGAGACGACGAUCAUAGCGGAAAAGACCACGGCGUCUUCCCACUCCAUUGUCGAAAAAGACAGCAGGGGUUUAUGAUCAGACGUCAAGUCAACCUCCAAGUAUUGGCAUCUAGCUGAGGGAAAUCGCUCUGCCCAAAGGGUAUUAGAUGCUGCCCUGUCCAGCCUGCAGCGUACUAAAUGGUCUCCUCGUUUGCCUCUCCAAGAAAGCGGGUCACCCGAGUGUUGAAGAUCGAACAAAUCGCCUUCGGAGAAGAAGGUUCGGAGGUCAGUGAAAGAUCCUUCCGUGCGGUCCGGUCCUCCUUCCUUCUCAACAUUGCAUAGCAAAUCAUUAAAAUCUCCGGUAAUGAACCAAGCAUCCUCACGCAUAAGGUAUUUGGAGACUAGUUGAUCCCACAAGGAAUUUCUCAGGUUCCUGUCUGUGCUAGCAUGAACAAAGGAUGAAUAAAACUUUUUCCCUUCAAAUUCAAUGAGCGUGUCGAUUACAUGAGCACUAGAAUCUAGUAUUUGAAGGUUUAGCUCCUGCUUCCAGAAUAAGCCAAGUCCACCAGCUCCGUGUCCGGUGGGAGAAACCAGAUGGUGGCAAUCGUAUCGGAGGUGCUGUAGUUUCUUGAGCACCACUUCGUCGGGGUUUUUUUACUCCAUUAUGAAGAUGAUAUCCGGUAGAAACUUUUUGGAUACCUCUUUCAAUCUUCGAACUGUCUGGGGAUUCCCCAACCCUUGACAGUUCCAGCUCAAUAUCACUAAGGAACGGGGUUGGAUGGAACCCGAAAAUCCAUCCUUCGUCUCGCAGCUGGUGGGAUAAUAUGAGCUAUCGGGAGAUUUUCCGAGGAGGUUGGAGUAGCUGGGCGUCUGGUAGAUCGUGGAGUCCCUCUUCUAUUCUUAGUUACUCUGACCACUCUCCUCGGUCGUACUGUCUCAGUUGCUGGUUUGGUUCUCCCCGAUGGGGGUUUGUCAUGGGGAGCUUUUCUCUUUCGAGAGGAAGAUUCCGGCGCUGGAAGGAUACUUGGAGUCACUCUUUGUUUACCUGGGGGCCUUCCCGGUUUUCUCUUUAUUGGCAUCGAGGGUUCUUUUUCAGGUUGUGCUAUCACCAUCGUCGUAUCAGUGUUGACAGGUCCUAGUCGUGCAGCCAAAGGGACCCUAUCACUUUGCUCACCAACUUCAAGGUUACAGACUUGUUCAAGCUCCAUUUGGUCGUCAUUGACGGGGCCUAGUCUGGCGAAUAUAGGGGUACGCUCAGUUGGAUCAGACACUCUGUUAGUUGGGCCCAGCCUAGCAGAGAUGGGAAGUCUCUCCCGGGAAAUUGGAUCUGAUGUAAUCGGGACCGUCUCCUCUGAAGCUCGCGCCAAGUUUGCCUUUACUAUCUGAACCGCUGACUCCUCAAAAUCCCCUUGCGCCUCAGCUUGUCUCAUGCGUUCUUUGCGAGCUGCGCUCUCCGACGGGUCUGCACAAUUGGUAUAUUGCGUCAUGGCUUCUCUUAUUUCUCCUAUAGCAGCAUUGACAGCCUCUUGAGGUAGAGUCGAGAUACUCCUCCGAAGGGGAGUCCCCCUUACAGAUGGAUGUACUUUGUUUCUUGUGUCUGAACCAAUCUCACGAGGAGAGUAGUGAUGGUUCUGAGGAGUGAACAAAUCAUCAGCUUGGUUCUGCUCAAUAUUGUGUCGUCCUUUUGGCGACGAGUGUGAGUGGGAAUCCCCAUGAAAAGAUGCAGAAUUCCUCUGAGAAACUUCCUUAUAGGGUCCUCUCGAGGUAUGGUCUCUUGGGCGCCAUUCCUGGGCCUUUGAGAGUCGUCCCCUGUGGUACUGGUCCAGAUGAUUGCUACGCGAGAGGGAGGGUCCGUGGGAGUGGCUAGGAUACCGUCUCCCCUGAUCUCGAUCCACUCGUCUGAGGGGCUCUCGACGCCUUGAUUCUAUGAGAGAGUCUGCCCUUUUCGCAGGAGGGGCAGUGAUCAUAGAGUCUCUCGUCUUCCGUUCUUCAUUCUGAUCAGUAAUGAGGGCUCUCCUUUGUGCUUUAGCUAGCAGGCAGUCGCGUAGUUCGUGGUCUAAUUUAUUACACUUGGAGCAGUGCUUCUCGAGUCGUUCAUAAACUAGUGUGGCCAUCACCUCAUCUCCAUUUGGAUAUUCAAUAAUUGAGCUCUUGAUGAGGGGAAGUCUGCCAUUGAUAUGGACCUUCAUUCUUAUGGAUGUAGAGGUGAUUUCUGCCUUCUCACAGGUUCCAAUAUCUUCCCCUAUGUUGCGGAUCGUUUCUUCUCUCCAUAGAUGGAUUGGUAUACCUUGGACUUUGAUCCAAAAGGGGAUCAUAGAUGGGAAGUCGGGUGAGACAGUGGGCUCCCAUCGUUGGAGGAUUAUCAUCCACCGGGCAUAGUGGUACGGUUGUUUCUCAAGCACCGUCAUUAUAUCAGACUCUAAUUCAAAGUGAAAUUGGAACAUUCCUAGGCCGAGGUAUGAUCCUACCGGAGGGAUGUCGGCUUUCCAGUGUUCUGUGAAGAAGGGGUUAAGGGACCACACCUUUUGGACUGAUGGAUUGGUGACCCUUCCUACGAUAGUAAGGCCAUGUUUCUCUUUCAGGGCUGAAAUAUCUGGGUCUGAGACUCAGACUCUUGAUUUCCGAGGGGCUGGUAAGUGUUCCAGCGCCACUGCUUUACCCUUGUCGGAGGAAGAUAAUCUUCUUUGCAUUGCAGAGGUCGUUCAGGUUGGGAACCAAGGGUUACUGUUGUUCCGCUAAAGGCAAAAUCAGAGGCAGUCGCCUUCAAUAUAGAAAGACAGAGGACUCGUAGAGGAGGUUAGGGCUGGUGGUAAUUCUAUGGGAACAGGUAACCUUCAAGUCUUCUGAUAUCAAAACGGUGAGCACCAGUAGCCACUGGUUAAAGGAUGAGGAAACCCUGUAUCUUAAGAACUUAACGCCAAUGCUCUUGCAACAAUGGCAGAGCGGCAGAGCGGUUUACAGGUCGCCAUAUCAGUUUCGGGGAACGUACUCCAGUGAUCUUUCACGGCGGCGACGGUCCCUCCGACCUGGGUCGGGGGAAGAACCCGGUGGAAGAUGUCGCAUAGUAGGGAACGGACCAAUGGAUACUGCCACUUAAGGGAAUAAUUUGAAAAAGGUAUGGGAAUUGCAGUAGAUCUGACCCCAAAACAAGCAAAAACUGGCGGGUAAAGGGGUGAUAUCAGAAAGUCAAACAAACUAAGGACCUUUCUAGUAAAAAGUGCCUGGGAGAGAAUUUAUAUUUUUAAGAAACGCUAUAUUACAUUCAUAUUUGUAGACGUGUCUAAUUGUGAGAAUAAAUGAAGACUCUAACAUACAUUUAUAUAUCUACUAGGGUAAGGGCGGACAGAUGUAUAAAUAAUAUUAAUUUUGUAAGAGUAUUUAUAAAUGUAAAUAUAAUUUCCUAACAUUAAAUUUUACUAUUUCAUAAGUAACGGUUAACGGUUAGAUGAACCGCAGACACUCCAUAUACUGUGGCAUGUGUCUAUUGGCUAUAGGUGAAAACCAAAUCGUUCCUUCUUCGACCAUAAAACCAAUACUAUAAAUAAUUAAAUAUGAUUCAUGUCUCAUCUAAUCGAAAAAUGUAUCACGUUUUCAGCUCCAUAUUCUAAUUUGAAGAAGCAUGGUGGCUCUGAUACUGGUUUUAGCCAGACUUACCAUUACCAAGAUGGUCCUGUCCAGCGUCUCCUAAAAGUAAACGACUCUUGAACCUUGUAAAUAAGGCAGACUCCUCCUUGAACCCCACCACUUCAGAAGCGUAAGCAGAAGACUCUCGCAAGUGGCUGAUGUAUAUAUAAUUGGCAGUUCUGAUUACAAAUGCAACUAAACUAACCAAACUGGAAUACAACUGAUGCUGCACAGAUGCUGCACAGAGGAACCUUUUAUAGAAGGAGCUGACUUAAUAUUCUUACAUUUACUCGAAUAAUUACAUUGUAGUAAUACUGAGAAAAAACCUUACAUGAAUUUCAUCAACACAGUAAUGAGAGCAAAUAAUAUAACUGACUGCAGAUCAUUUUUUUUUGUAAGAAAGCAUGCAUUACAACUAUGAAAUGGUACGUUCCACCAAAAGGCAAAUCACAAAAAUGUUCAUGGGACUUUGCAUAUUUAGCCACAAACAUGUAUAUAUGUAUGUAGUAUACAUAUAUAGAUGAUCCAAACAAACAAUCUCUUUAUCAAAUACACUAACACUAAAGACGUACAUUUUAAGUCUUUUAUUUUGGUGAUUCUCAAAUGUGGGAUCCCAUAACUUCAUUAUCAUCAUCAUUAACGAAUGUUUUUUUUAUCAGCUUUAGUUUACUUUCUGCUUUCUCUUCUUAACCCGCUAUUUCAAAUUUAUUUGUGUGCUUGAUAUUAACAAAGUCAACAUCCAUGUGAAGUAAGCUAAAGAUUCCCACUAAUUGACAAAUAAUUUGGCUCUUUUUUAAUUUUUUUUUCAUCAGAUCAAUGAUAAUUUACUUGAUCAUCUUGUUGAUGUAAACAUGAACUAUUUUCCAGUGGAGAUCACUUGCAAAGGUAACAAAAGCAUUAGGCAAAAUAUCCAAGAAGUAAAACGUAAACUAAAUAAAAAAAUAAAUGAAAAAUCUUUACUACUGUUGGCAAACAAGUUUGAGACACAGCCUCUUGUGAGCCAUUAUUUGCUACCAGCUCCUAAGAAAUUCUCUUGUAUAAGUUCGCCACUGUGACUACUGUCUACUACUCGAACUUCCACUGCCACCACUAUUAAGUCAAUGCAUCCUUCAGAAGUAGUGAGUUCUUUACCUACUGGAGUAACUGAUGCAAUGUUCCAAACUUCCUUUAUAUACCUCACUUUCCAUUUUGCCACUCCUCUUAACACUGCACCAAAUACCCAAACAUUAGCUUUGAUCUCUUCAUAAAGUACCAAUCUGAGUUAAUCCCCGAAUCUAGCUUUACAUUUUCUUCAUCAAAAUAAAAACUUUAGCAAUGAUGAUUACAUUGUCAAGAAGUAUUAAGCAUGCCUCACAUAAAAUCAGCUCAUUUGAUUUUCUUUAUCAAAAUCGAAACUUUAUCAAAACCUAAAAUACAUUUUGAAGUUACUUUACAUGUGGCUUUGCCGGCAGUGAGUGUCAUGAUAUCUCUGGAAGUACAGAAGUAUAACAUAUAUGCCUAAUGCUCUUUCUUAGCUCCAAUCACUUCAGCAACCUGCAUUGACCGAGCGAAGGUCCGCCACAACGGUUUUAGCCAUUUGCUCAUCCUUCCCAUAGCUAGAAGACGCGGCGGUGGCUCCUGCGAUAUCAGCAACAGCUGCAUCCACACCAACUAAAGAGACAGCAGCGUGAAUCUGAGUUUUGUGUGCUCAAGUCUCCUCUUUCUUCUUCUUCUCCAGUGAACUGUGUUUGCAAGUCAAAAUUGUUGCACAGUAAAUCCUAUCUCUGGAAACAAUUCCUGCAAGCAGAAAAAGGUGAGAAUCUAUUGUUUCACUGAAGAAAAAAAUAAUGGUCAAAAUUUUAAUCAAACUCAUCUCUCUUAUAAAUAAUUAAAAUUUCAAUGAGUUCUCAAAUUUGAACAACCAAAGCUUAUUUACUCGCAUAGGAAACUCAAUGAUAUACAAAAGCCUUCAUUUGAACACAUUUAAAAAUUGGAGAAAACAUACGUGAGAGCUCACAAAUGGUCACGGACAUAGCCAUGGACAUGUUUCAAUCCACGACUCGUUGGGAUAUUAGAAGCCACGUUGCAGAUGACUUUUUGAGCUACAUAAUUUAAAUCAGAAACUGAGUAAAUCUUCUACUAAAAAAGAUUCACCACAUCUGAAAACAGAGUAAAGCUUGCUCAUAUCACAUAGUGUUUGAUCCGCUGGAACAUAAAAGUGAGGGAUCUUCCCUAUUCUUCAUAAACAGUAAAUGAAUUGUAUAUACUUCACUGACCGAGACAUAAUUUCAAGGGGGAGAGAUAUUCAUACCGGUUAAAGAGAAAUACAUGAACCAUACUUGCAGAUCUUUUAAUGUUAUGACUAGAUUUAAUUAAGAGGCUCUUUGUAAGGGUUAAGAGCAGACUCAAUAAACGGAUCAUAAAUUCAUAAGGUCACCGGAAAAAUAACAUCACUAUUAUCAGAAUCUCAAGAACAGACUGACCUUUCAAUCAAGCAAGAGCAUGUCGACAGACAUGAGUUUAGCGCCUAACAUUCCUCGCCUCCCAGAAACGAAGCAACCGAACUUCAAAUCGGAAAGGAAAACUUGUGAGCUAGCCAUUUUCCAGAAAAUAAAUGGAUUUAUUUGUUUGAAUAGAUUGGUAGGAUGGAGUCGAGAAUAGGGAUGCUAACCUUUUUAUAGUGAGAUUUCCACCGCCUUGAAAGAACGAAGCAGACAAUAAAUAUAGACCGUGGAUGAUGGAAUCAAAGAGGACUUUAAGAAUAUGAAUGUGAAACUGAUGAAACUAUGGGCCAGAGGAAGAAGAUGAAUGGAAACCCUAGAGCCUAUAUCGCUACGGCUGAGAACGAUGAGGGUUCAAUCCAUAAAAUAGAAAACGAAGCGUUUUGAUAAUGCUGAGUUUCUCUUAUUCAGGAUAGGCUUUACCAAGUUUUAUAAAAAAAAUCAUGUGCAAUCAAAAGCCCAAACGAAAUUUAAACUUGAAUAAAUGAAACGCAGAGUUUCAAUGAAGGGGACACGUGUCACUCCCAGAAUGCACGAAUUGAUGACGUGUCAUCACAGGAGGGUCACCAACAUCUUUUUAUAUAUAUAGAUUACAUUUAUUUGACUAUAUUUUUGACCUAAGAACCUACACUAAUAUAUAACAUGCAUCAAUAAAACUAGAAUUUGACUCACACAAUUGUACGGAUAUUAUUUUCAGUUGAUUAAAUUUAAAAAUAAUUAUUUAUUCAAAAUAUAUUUAAGAAUGGCUAUGCUUUUAAAAAUUAUAUGGUAUUAUUUGCUCAUAACUCAUUUGUCAUUUGAUAAACUGUUAGAAAGAAAAUUUUAGCAUAAUAUAACUCAGUUGUCAUUUGCUAAAUUUAUGGUUUUUAUUUAUAUUUUUUAUUAUUUAAUUAUAAUAUUUUCAUUUUAUAUUUGAAAGAUAAAUGAAUUUUCUUUCAAAUAAUAUUUUUGUAAAUGUAUUUUUUUAAAAAUAAUAAAUUUAAAAUAAUUUGAGUUUUCGUUUACAUCAAAACUUAUCAUAUUUUAGGAUAAUUUUAAUUUAAAAUGUAAUUUUCAUAUUUUUCAAACAAAUUCUAAAAAUAUUUUUUAAAUAUAUUGUUAUAAUUUUUAAAAAAAUAUUGAGUUGCAUUUCAAAUAAAAAAGGUAAAUAUAUUAAAAAUAUUCUAAUUAAAAUAUGUAAAUUUUAAUAUAGUUUUAAGGAAAUGGUCAAAAAAAAUUACACAUAAAAAAAAUCAUGAUUUUUGUUAACUGGGUGGAUCAUUAUUUAUAUGAUAUUGCACACGAAAAGAAAAAUUUCUGUUUUUACAAUUAUCUGAUUAACUCUAUAUACUCAUUUUUUUAUAUGAUAUCGCACAUUCGUAAAAGUAUAGAUAGUUUAAGAUGCAAAAAAAAAUAUUUAUUUAAUAAAUAUAAUAUGAACAAAUAUUACAAAUAAAUCAUUUAAUAAAAUAAAUAAUUAAAAAAUGAAAAUUCAUAUUCGCGCUGGCGUGUGGGUCAGGAUCUAGUGUAUAUUAUAUAGAGAUACAUAGAGUGGAUUGAAGUUGAGGAUCUGGCCAGGGGAUAUAUUAUACUAAUAUAGUAUGUAUGGAUAUAUGGACGCGGCAAUGUGUAAAUCACUUAGUUGUAUGAGUAUGAAGUAAAAUGCAGUUGGAUAUCUGUAUUCGCAUUGAAUGUUUGAUGAGCUAACUUCUUCUAAUGAAUUUGAUCCGUAAAGAAUUUCUAAUUAAUAUUCUAUCUUUAUAGUUAGCCGAGAAUCUUGAAUUAUAUUCUUCUCUCUUAACACUGAUUAGUGGGUUAGUUUUUAGUACCUUGCGAAAAGUUGUAUAUAUUCGGAAAUUUGAUAAUUCAUAUUCCCUGGAUUUUGUAACCUUAAUAAUAAUCCGCGCACUGUUUCGUAAAUAUAUUGUGCUUAAAUAUUAUAAACAAUAUACAUUUUGUUAUUAAUAACAUUUUUUACAUUUGAUUAGAGGUGGACAUUCGAGUACUAUUUGGUUUGAUUCAGAUCCUUGAAGGUUUAGUUCGGUUCGGAUCUUUGCGGAUUUGGUUUCGGUUUGGGUUCGGAUAACCUAUUUAAUUUUUUUUUCAAAAAUUAAAGUUCAUAUAUACUUUAAAUUUUUCAAAAUCUAAAAAGAAAAAUAAUAUAUAACAUAUAAAUUUGAAUAAUGUAUUCUAAAAUACUUAAACUUAACAUAAAAAUUGGUUUAGCUUAAAUAUUUGGUUAGGAAAUCAAUAGACAUUCUAAGUAUUUUAGGUAUUAUAAGUAUCGUUUAGCUAUUUUAAACAUGUAUUUAUAACUAUUUGUAUAUAUUUUCAAGUAUUUUGGACUACUUAAAAACGUCUUAUACAUUUUGUAUAUUUUUUAAAUAUUAAAUUUAAAAAUAAUUAAUAUAUUUAAGUAUAUAAAUCUUCGGUGUUUUGACGAAUAGAAAUGAGGUUAGGGUUAGGACAAUAAAUUUGUUGUGCAAUCCAUGUUUUCGCUAGGUGAUUUCAAUAACUUCUAAAUAAAAGCAGUUGUAUCGAUCUCUUGUAAGAUUUUCAAACAAUAUUAAUUAAUAAAAUCUUACACUUUCUAGAGUAAUCAAUUGUUUCUCAAUUAAUAUAUAUGAGAUUGUAGUAAUCACAUAAAUCAAAACAAUACAUCUUAUUUGUUUACAAUAUAUUUAUGGUAAAUAAAUUAAAAUAAUCAUUUCAUUUAUUUUAUAUGGUAUAUAAUUUUAUUUCAAAGAUAUUGACAUAAAUAUAUAGUAUAUUUUAAUAUAAAUAUUUAUUAUUGAGGCUUCCUACUAAUAUAGUUUUAUUAACUUUUGUAUAUUUAAUGUAACAAAAAAAUUUAAACCAUUAAUCUCAAAUUUUUGGAUAUGUUAAUCAUAUAUAUGUUAAUCAUAUUAGUUAAUUCUGUAGCUUUUAUUUAAGAAAAUAAUAUAUGUUUUUUAUAUUUUAGGUUAAUAUAAUAUUUUCUAUUAAUUGGAUUUUGGACCAAUAUUUUUUUUCAAUUGAUUCUUAAUAUGUCAUGUAAUUACAGGUUAAAUUUUUUUAAAUGUUUCUCUAUUAAUAUAUAGAGGAUUAUCAUAAAUAAAACAAUAUCGGAGAACCCGAACCGUCAAUUUGUCUUCGUCUUCACGGUGGACUCCAUGUCUUAUGGAUACAGAGCUGUCCUGAAACAUCGUCACGAGUUGCUCUAAAUGAGGUGACUUGACUUAAACCAGAAUGUACUAAUUAAGAUGGGCUUUUUGCAAAAGUGACUCAAAACUUGAAGUCAAACAGAAAACUAACCUUUUCUUUUGACUCUUUUUUUUUUGAGAUUUUAACCCCACACCUGCAUUUUAUCUACGAAAAUGCCAUUAACAUUUUUUUUUUUUUUAAAAAUGGCUUCUUUACUGUCUCAACCUCAUCUUCUUCAAGUAUUUACAAUAUUGCCACUGCAAUGAAUAGUGGCAACAACCUUGUACGAACUGUUUGGAGCUUUUAAUGCCCUUUAAUGCACGUAAAUCUCUUUACACUCUCUCUGUUUCAAUUGUUAUGAACUAAAAACAACAUUUCUUUCACUUUCUCUCUAUAUUCAUCCAAAAAACUCAAGCUUUUGAUUCAAAAUAUGGGCUAUGGUUGACAGAGCCAUAUUUCUUUCGUUUUGACUUACGGUUGCUUUCGUUUGAGGUUCUGGGUGGUUGGAGAAGACCCUGUGUGCAAACGAAGUCAUCUCACCUAGUUUAAGGUACGAAUUUGAAUUUUUUUUCAAGAUCUGUUCGCGUAGAAGACUUACUAGUAAGUCAUCUGUAUGUAGAAGACUUACUGAUGAGUCUUCUGGUCAAACGGACGACUUAAAUUAAGUCGUCCAGCUUUGUUUGUUAAAAAAAAACACUCCAGACGACUUAUAUAUACGUCGUCUACGAGAAACGGGCUAGUUUUGCAUUUGACCGAAUCGUGUCAGAUCUUUGACUAUUUCUGGACGACUUAUAAUUCAGUCGUCUCUGGGAAAGUUAAAAUUUCAAUAUUUUAUGAAAACUUGACGACUUACGUGUAAGUCGUCCUAGGUUAGUUUUGUAAUUGAAAAAUAAAACUUCAUAAUUUAACUUUAACCAGACGACUUAAUAUAAAGUCGUCCCUCCAGAAGACUUAAUUUAAAGUCGUCCGGGGAAAGCAAAGUCGUCCAGAAUUUUUCCCAAUUUUCUGGUCAAACCUUGCUUAUCCCGGACGACCUUAAAUUAAGUCGUUUAGCUGGACGACUUUCAUCUAAGUCGUCUGGAGAAAGUUAAAUUUCAAGUUUUAUUUUUCAAUUACAAAACUAACCUAGGACGACUUACACGUAAGUCGUCAAGUUUUCAUAAAAUAUUGAAAUUUUAACUUUCCCAGAGACGACUGAAUUAUAAGUCGUCCAGAAAUAGUCAAAGAUCUGACACGAUUCGGUCAAAUGCAAAACUAGCCCGUUUCUCGUAGACGACUUAUAUAUAAGUCGUCUGAAGUUUUUUUUUUAACAAACAAAGCCGGACGACUUAGAAUUAAGUCGUCCCUUUUAAUUUUCAAUUGCAAAAGUGACCUCUUUAGACGACUUACCUUUAAGUCUUCUGGACGACUUAAUGCUAAGUCGUCUGCGGCAAUGUUUAUUGAACUUCUUCAUUUUCUCUAUGUUUACUAAUGUGUUUUAUUUUGAAUAUUUGCAGAUGAUUUUUCAGUUACAUGCAGUGUAUGGAGAAUGGUUGUUGAGAGAUUUCCGUUGGGAUUUUGUGGUUGAUGAUCUCAAAGGAGCAAGAUUGUUUUUAUUGAAUGAAGAUUCAACACAUGCUGAACUUGUUGCAAUGGCUCAAGAAGAUUAUAACCUGGACAUGAGAACAGUGAGUGUGGAGAUUAGCUACUCAUUACCAGCAGAAAUGAUGAUGGCUCCAGGCAGUCUUCCCAUUCAUGUUACAAGUGAUAGACAAGUUCGAAACUUGCUGGAGAUACUCAAAACCCAUAGAGUAUGUCUUUGUGUAUCAAGCCGCAGCAAGGUCGAAACGGUUUCAGAGAAAAGGGAUAUUGAUGAAGCUGGUGAAUGGGAAAAAGAUGUUGGUGAUAAUGAUGAAGCUGGUGAAUGGGAAGAAGAUGUUGGUGAUGAUGAUGAAGCUGGUGAAUGGGAAGAAGAUGUUGGUGAUGAUGAUGAAGCUGAUGAAUGUUUUGAAGAUGUUGGUGAUAAUGAGUUUGUUGAAGAUGAAAAUCAAGAUGGGGAGGAGGAAAAUGGGGAGGAGGAUGCUGAUAAUUCUAUUGUUGGUGAAACGGAUCAGAAUGGUGGGGAUUACAGUCUUUAUGGAAAGGUUCCAGAUGAGGACGAGGAAGAUGAUGAUAAUAUUUGUUUUGAAGAAAUCCAAAAGACAUAUGCUAAGACAAAUGCUAUUGAAGGAGGAAAAUCGAAUGGUACCAGUAUCUAUGUCAACCAGAGUUUUGUUAGCAAGGGUGCACUGCUUUCAGAGCUGCGGUUGGCAGCAGUGAGGGGUAAGUUUUCUUUCAGAUUAUACAAAUCAACGAAAACUCUCGUUGUGGCAACAUGUCCGGUUAGCUAUUGUGGAUGGAAGGUCAGAGCGAGUGUCAAACAUGGGACAAACACGUUUUGGGUAACAAAGUAUGUGGAAAAACAUUUAUGCUCAGCGGGAGACCGAAUCGCUCAGCGGAGACACUGUACUCCGAAGUAUGUAGGUAGUCUUUUCAUUGAUCGUGUUGGAAUCAUUGAUGGGAUAACUCCGCAGCAUAUCACUGAUGCAAUGAGGAACAUGUUUGGCAUGGCGCUUGAUUACACCACUUCAUACAGAGCACUGUUAUAUGCACAAAGAUUGGUGAGAGGAUCAGCAGAAGAAGGGUAUUCGCGUCUGGCAUCAUAUCUCGAGCAAAUCUCCAUUGCAAAUCCUGAUUCUAUCACGGCGAUAGAACUUGAUUCUAUGAAAAGAUUUAAGUAUCUAUUUCUCUCUUUUGGAGCUUCUAUCAAAGGUUUUAAGUAUCAGAGAAGGGUCAUUGUGGUGGAUGGAACUCACCUAAGUGGAAAGUAUGGAGGAACUAUGUUAGUUGCAGCCGCACAAGAUGGCAAUUUUCAGAUAUUCCCAUUGGCUUUUGGGAUCGUGGAUGAGGAAGAUAUACCUUCUUGGGAAUGGUUUUUCACAAAAUUGGCUAGUUGUAUAUCUCAUGACAAGCCUCUGGUGAUAGUCUCCGACCGGCACAAGGCCAUUAAAAGUGCGUGUGAUAAGGUGUUUCCUUGGGCAACCCGAGGAAUAUGUUAUUAUCACCUUCAAGAUAACAUUGUCAAAAAGUUUAAAGGGAAACAUCUCAUGUACUUGGUGAAAGGGGCUGCUUAUGCUCACACGGUUUACGAUUUUGACCGGUACAUGGCUGAGAUACGGAGUGCAAACCCGGAACUUGCAACGUAUUUGGAGAAAGCCGACGUCAGGCUAUGGUCAAGGGUUUAUUGUAAGGGGAACAGGUUCAACAUAAAAACAAGCAACAUUGCUGAAUCUAUUAAUUCCGCACUGAAGCGAGCAAGAGGAUUUCCGAUUACGUUCCUGCUGGAGUUCAUAAGGCAGAAGUUAGGAAAAUGGUAUUGGAAAAGGAGACAAGAUGCUUUGAGUCUCACAACUGAACAUAGCGGGGGUGUUGAAUACUUGCUUGCUGUUCGAGAAGAGAUAGCGGGUACGAUGACGGUCGAACCAAUUGAUGGAUGGCAUUUCUUUGUCAAAGGUGGCAAAAUGGACUGUGUGGUUGAUUUGGAACAUGCAAAGUGUGAUUGUGGUGUCUAUGGAGUGGAGAAAAUACCUUGCUCUCAUGCUAUAGCUGCUGGAAUACAUGCUGGUUUGCAUAUCUCCACACUUGUAUGUCCACUGUACUCAAAGAAUUAUCUGUAUGCAGGAUACUCAGAGAAUAUAUAUCCUAUCGUGUCACAACAUAUUGAGGAACGAGAAUGCUUUCCUCCAGAACUAAAGCGUGGUCGGGGGAGACCGAAGAAAUCAAGAUGGCAAUCUUGGUUGGAGCUAUCUAGGAUGAGAGGACACAAACCCAGGAAGAAACACAGGGCACGGAGAUGCUCAAACUGCAAGGAAACUGGCCAUACGAAACCACAAUGUACACAACCAGUUGACUAGUUGUCCAGACGACCUAAAUUUAAGUCGUCCAGUCUUGAUUACCCGUCCAGACGACUAAAUUUUUAGUCGUCCAGUGUAUUUUAUUUUUAGACGACCUUCUACUAAGUCGUCCAGUGUAUUUUAUUUUUAGACGACCUUCUACUAAGUCGUCCAGUGUAUUUUAUUUUUAGACGACCUUCUACUAUCCCUUCAAGUGUAUUUUAUUUUUAGACUACCUUCUACUAUCCCUUCAAGUCGUCCAAACCUUCUAGACGACUUAUUUGUAAGUCGUCCAGUUGGAAAACCUUCCAGACGACUUAUAAUAAGUCGUCCAAACCUUCUAGACGACUUAUUUGUAAGUCGUCCAGUUGGAAAACCUUCCAGACGACUUAUUUCUUCCAGACAACUUAUAUAUUUACAAAUCUAUACAAAGACAAGCUGAAAUACAAAUACUUCGCUCGUUAAAAAAUCAUGUUCAAAUACAAAGACAAGUUCAAAUACAAACACAAAUCUAAUCAUACAUGCCCACGAACUUAUCACCAUCCACAUUUUCUUUCAGAUGCUGAUCAACAAGCUCCUUCCAUAUAUCCACCGCCAUAUUAUCCCUCAUUUUCUUCGCGUUGCACCUAGCAAAGUCUUUAGGGUCAAAGGAGACCCCAAGAGCAUGACAUUCAAUGUACUUUACAGCGUACACGCCACAAUCACCAUUGUUGGCCGUGGGUACACCUUUCAGCGGUCUCUCAUAUGUGUAUGGCUCCAACCCGUAUUUGACCCGUAUUUCGUCGGUGGCUGCGCACUCAACAAGCAGAUAAGGGACCAUCUGGAGAAAAGGCUCCAUUAUCGCAUCCCAUGCGUCUGGUACACUAGAUGAAGGUAUGCUGUCCCAGACGACUAUGUGCCUCUUAGGGAUCGAUAUCCAAAUAGCAACCCAAUGCUUGUCGUCCAAGUUCACUGGCGCAUAGAUAUCAUCAAUGUCCUCCCCCCACUUCUUGUUUGAUUGGCAAAAUGAAGGUAUUGAUCCGUCAUAAAAAUUCGACGCCCCACCAGGUAGAACUCUUCCUAAACCUUUGUGAUCAGGUUCCGAUGUUUUGAAGAGCUGAUACUGCUCUCUCCAAGACUGGGAAAAGUUGUGAUCCAGGAAGCACAUUCGCUCGCUCCUGAAAGCUUGUGGGUUCUCCUGAUACCUCUGCCUUAGCACAUUAAUCCAAGCAUCUAUAUGCUGCAUAUUAAAUAUAACAAGUUAGAAGUUACCAGACGACUUAAAUAUAAGUCGUCUACGUGGUCGUCCAAGUAGACGACUUUCCAGACGAUUUAUCUUUAAGUCGUCUGGAAAGUAGUCUACUUGGACGACUUUGUAGACGACUUAAAUCGUGUGCAGAAGACUUACGCAGUCUUCCAGCCAUCCUCUGGCUGUCCGGAGGAAGUGGUACCACCUUGUUGGUGAUGUACGUGGUUUGUCCUCGGUCUUAGUUAAAUAAUGACUGCAAACAAAAAAGCAAUCAGUUUUGGACGACUAAAUCAAGCUAUUAUGGGUAAAGCAAUCACUUACGGAUCAGUUUUCAACCAAUCAGCGAGUUCCUUCAACUUAUCUUUGUUUACUGGCGGAAAUGGAUUAUAGGCUGCCACUUUAUCUUUUUUUUUCUCUGCCGUAUAAGGAGAUCUCACAGUGGGAGCAGGUUUCUUCGCUCGUUUACUCUUUGCACGCUUGUCCAAUACAACCAGGCUCGGUUCUGAAACUGGAUCGCUUGGCUCGGUGGAAGCGAGGCUCGGUUGUUGAUCGGUGGAAGCGAGGCUCGGUUGGUGAUCGGUGGAAGUGACAGCAACAAUCUCUUUGGAGGUGACACCAUCUGCUUUAUCCUCCGGCAAGAUCUUAUUUACCGAGUUCGCCUCGGUUGCUGUAUCCUCCGGCAACCAUCUCUGCAAUAAAAGUUGCACACAAGUUAACCCUGGACGACUUAAAUAAAAGUUGUCUGGACGACUAGUUGACCCUGGACGACUUAAAUAUAAAUCGUCUGGACGACUAGUUGACCCUGGACGACUUAAAAUUAAGUCUUCCGUGGUCAACUAGUCGUCCAGACAACUUACGUUUAAGUCGUCCAGGGUCAACUAGUCGUCCAGACAACUUUUACAGUCGUCUGGACAACUAGUUAACCCUGGAUUUGAUACUAACCUCUUUGAUUUGAGGAGGCUGUUUCUUUUGAGGAGGAGGCUGUUUCUUUUGAGGAGGAGGAGGCUGCUGCUGUUUCUUUUGAGGAGGAGGAGGCUGCUGUUUGGUUUGAUGAGGAGGAGGCUGGUUACUAACCACGGUUUCAUUGGCAUGAGGGGUAGCCUGUUUGUUUCUACCCCCGGUUUCUUUGGCAAGAGGGGUAGGCUGUUUAUCUUGAGGGGUAGCCUGAUUGGUUAGAGGUGGAGGGGUAGCCUGAUUGGUGACACCAACCUUCUUCUCCACAGCUUCCAAUCUAUCAGACAACUUCCUAAACUCCCUCAUGCACUUAUUAAACCCUUUUUUCAUACAGUCAGCUACGCCCUUGAACAUAAUUUCCAACUCCUCUCUGGUCACCCCUCUAGCCUCUUCUCUAGCCUCUUCUCUAGCCUCUUCAGGAGCCUCUUUACGAGCUUUCUUCCGAGGUCUUGGAUUGUCUUCCUCCUCCUCCUCCUCCUCCUCCAACACAACCAUCUCUUUGGCCUUCUUCGAUGGAGUCACAACCUUAGGUUUUGUAUUGACCUUAGUACCAGUGACUUCCCAGCAAUCCAUGGUCCACUUCCACGGUCUCCGCUCAUACAUGACUUUAAUGAUGUUCUCCGCGGGCAGGUCCUCAACCUCAGAGUCCCAUUUUGGCCACAUUUCACUAAUGUCCUUCUCAACAAAGUUGAUCACGCGGGUCUGCAGUAAAUAGAAGAAUCGAGUUAGAUAUUUGAAAAAAAAUACUAAAUAGACGACUUAAUUAUAAGUCGUCUACUAAGUCGUCCAGCUGGAAGACCUUCCAGACGACUUAUAAUAAGUCGUCUAAUAAGUCGUCCAGAUGGAAGACUUUCCAGACGACUUAAUUAAGUCGUCCGAUAAGUCGUCCAGCUGGGAAGACUUUCCAGACGCCUUAUUAUAAGUCGUCUAAUAAGUCGUCCAGAUGGAAGACCUUCCAGACGACUUAUAAUAAGUCGUCUAAUAAGUCGUCCAGAUGGAAGACUUUCCAGACGACUUAAUUAAGUCGUCCGAUAAGUCGUCCAGCUGGGAAGACUUUCCAGACGCCUUAUUAUAAGUCGUCUAAUAAGUCGUCCAGAUGGAAGACUUUCCAGACGACUUAAUUAAGUCGUCCGAUAAGUCGUCCAGCUGGGAAGACUUUCCAGACGACUUAUUAUAAGUCGUCUAAUAAGUCGUCCAGAUGGAAGACUUUCCAGACGACUUAAUUAAGUCGUCCGAUAAGUCGUCCAGCUGGGAAGACUUUCCAGACGACUUAUUAUAAGUCGUCCAAUAAGUCGUCCAGAUGGAAGACCUUCCAGACGACUUAUAAUAAGUCGUCUAAUAAGUCGUCCAGAUGGAAGACUUUCCAGACGACUUAAUUAAGUCGUCCGAUAAGUCGUCCAGCUGGGAAGACUUUCCAGACGCCUUAUUAUAAGUCGUCUAAUAAGUCGUCCAGAUGGAAGACCUUCCAGACGACUUAUAAUAAGUCGUCUAAUAAGUCGUCCAGAUGGAAGACUUUCCAGACGACUUAAUUAAGUCGUCCGAUAAGUCGUCCAGCUGGGAAGACUUUCCAGACGCCUUAUUAUAAGUCGUCUAAUAAGUCGUCCAGAUGGAAGACCUUCCAGACGACUUAUAAUAAGUCGUCUAAUAAGUCGUCCAGAUGGAAGACUUUCCAGACGACUUAAUUAAGUCGUCCGAUAAGUCGUCCAGCUGGGAAGACUUUCCAGACGCCUUAUUAUAAGUCGUCUAAUAAGUCGUCCAGAUGGAAGACUUUCCAGACGACUUAUAAUAAGUCGUCUAAUAAGUCGUCCAGAUGGAAGACUUUCCAGACGACUUAAUUAAGUCGUCCGAUAAGUCGUCCAGCUGGGAAGACUUUCCAGACGCCUUAUUAUAAGUCGUCUAAUAAGUCGUCCAGAUGGAAGACUUUCCAGACGACUUAAUUAAGUCGUCCGAUAAGUCGUCCAGCUGGGAAGACUUUCCAGACGACUUAUUAUAAGUCGUCCGAUAAGUCGUCAAGCUGGACGACCUUCCAGACGACUUAUAAUAAGUCGUCUGCGCAGUCUUUUGGAUUGAAGUAAAUACCUGACUCAAGAUAGCAGCUUUCAUUGAUCUGCGGCCUCUGCUGCCCUCGUAAGCCAGUAUCGGUGGAGACGGACUGUCUGCUCUGGGACCACCAAUACUAGCACCCAAUUCCGGCAUAGCUGUGUACGUCCAGACUUGAAGAACUUGUAUAAACCCAUCCACGGUGUAACAGCCAGCAAUUUCUUUGUUCCACAAAGAGUCCAUCAGCACCUUAAACGCGACUCUCCCCCAUGGAUAAUUCUCAAACCGUUCUAAAUCCAUCACUAGCCUUGCCAGAGUAGAUCGUGUAGCGGUUGAAAACUUUCUCCCUUCAAUGAAUCCAGUGAAGAUGGAGAGGUACGCGAGCCGCUUGCGAUCUUCCCUGGACCAAUCCCCGCAUCUCUUCAGUGCUGCUAUUAUCUGAUCAGUAGUUGGCCCAGCUUCCAGAUGAACUCCCAGCAUCCCCCAGAAAGAAACCAUCUCUGGGGUAACGUCACAUUUUGGUGUCUCAAGGUCCUCGAUGUACUCGCAGUUUAGACCAGUGAGGUUUUCAAACUCUAACAGUGAAAACCUCAAAGGUUCUGGACCAACGAGAGACCACAUCUCAUACUUCUUCUUAAUGUCCAGCUUGAAACUGAGCAUGUAGUGAACCAGCCUUGAAGCCCAACCAAAUCCCUGCUCCUUGAACUUGAUGAAAACUCCCAAACUCGACUCCUUGAGCUCUUCAAAUUCGUCAUCAGUAAGAGCUUUCCUAAGAGCAGUAUGCAACUUGCUGUUAUCCGUAUGAUACGAAAUGCUAUUGUGGGCUUCUGGCUCUUCCCCUGAUGUGUAUAACCUACGGGGGAGUUCUGGAAUAUCCAUCCUUUUUGUCUGCAAAAUAAUCAAAGACAACAAUAUAAGUCCAGACGACUUAGUAGACGACUUAAAUUUAAGUCGUCUGGAAAGUCUUCCAAAUGGACGACUUAUAUUUAAGUCAUCUACUAAGUCGUCCAGUUGGAAGACAAAGCCGGACGACUUAAAUUACUUACAAGUCUUCCAGUCGCAGAAGGAGUUGGAGUACUCGUCAUUGCGGUUAUAGAUCUGAAAAAAUAAACGUGAAACGGUGAGAAUGAGUAAAUUGAUAGAGACAACGUUUUAUGUUCAUCUUUUCCUCGAGAUUGAUGACUUAGCGGCGUUAGGGUUUACAGAGAAACGGCGCUAAGGUUUACAGAGAAGAAGCGGCGGCGCUAGGGUUUAGAAGAAGCGGCGGCGCUAGUGUUUAGAGGAAGCGGCGGUGAGAACGUUGGUGACCACGGUGGCGAGGGCGACGGUUUGUUCGGAAAUAGUGGAAGCGGCGGCGCUAGGGUUUAGAGGAAUCGGCGGCGCUAGGGUUAGAAGAAGCUGCGGCGACAACGGUGAGAAUGAAGUGAGAUAGAUAGCCGACGUUGAGAACGAUGGUUUGUUCGGAAAUCGUGGGAAUUCGAAAUCGCCUUUGAGAGAGAACUGUUAGGGUUUCUGAAUUUCGUGAAAAAUGAAACAAAAAAAAUAAAAAUCACCUUAUAUAUUGGGUAAAUAAUCCGGUUAGCUUUAAAAUUACAUUGGUAAACUUUAAGGUUUGGUCCGGUUUAGACGACUUAUUCUGGCUGAUAAUGUACAACAGACGACUUAAUAUUUAGUCGUCUGUUUUCAGACGACAAAAUAUUAAGUCGUCCUAGACCCUAAAAUGAACCCCUAAACUAAAAUGACUAGAUUAACUAACUAACCACGUUAUAAAAUCAAAUUAUACUUAAAUAGUGUUUACUAUACACAGAAAUGAACACGCAUAAGUAAUUUUAAAAAUUUUCAAAAACGGUUUUAAUGCUUUCCAAAAUCUAACCCUAAGAACACAUACAAUACUACAACAUAUGUUGAUGAAACAUAAACUAAAGAAUAUCAUGACUCACUACUUUCACUCAUCUAUGCUGAAAACAAUUGAAAUUUGUUAUAUCUUAAUUUAUACCUCCUAAGACAUAUGUUAAUUACAUAAUUCCCAUUUUUCACUUAUCAAAAUAUUUUUUACAAAAUUUUUAAAUUAUGUUUAAGACUAACUGUCCAGACGACUUUCAGUUAAGUCGUCUGGACGACUUAUUUUCAAGUCGUCUAAACAGACGACUUGCGAGGGGUAGAAACGUAAAAAAAAUUCCGUUUUUUUGUUUGGUCACAAGGGGAUAGUUGUAAUUUCAAUAGCCUUUUAGGUUACUUUUGCCUUUGACCCAAGUUGGGUAUUGUUUUGGGUUUGACUCCAAGUUUUGAGUCACACUUGGCAAUUCUCCCAAUUAUUCAAUAGCCUUUUAGGUUACUUUUGCCUUUGACCCAAGUUGGGGUAUUGUUUUGGGUUUGACUCCAAGUUUUGAGUCACACUUGGCAAUUCUCCCUUAUUAAUUAGAAGGUUAGUGUAUGUGGCUUUCUUCAAUCUUUCAAUAUCAAAAUGAAAUAGUAUGUAUUUCGAAUUUAUUUCAAGAAUGUUAAACUAAAAUGUGAAUCACUGUGUACUUUCGGUUUGUAAUCAUUUAUAGUCGGUUUGUGGUCGAUUUGAUUUCCAUAGAACCGGACGAGAGGGAUAAAUUUAUGGUCAGUUUUACUAAUUAUUACAAGACAAUUAAAAAUAUGUUAUGAAAAAAUAUUGUGAUAGACUGAUAUGGUAAGUUAAAUUCAAUUUAUAAUAUCUUAGGUUUAAUUUGAUUUAUGAUUUGAAAUUUUGUGACCAAAUCUGUGAUUUUGUCCUUAUAUUCUCAUUGAUACUAUCCUUUCAAUUAGUGGUUGUCGAUACUAUGUUGCCAAAUAUGUAAACGAAAUUGUUAUUAAAUAUUUAUGUUUUCACAUAGAUUUAACACACUAAAUAUACGGUUUCUGUGAUGGCUGCUAAUAAAUUAUAGUUAACCAUAAAUCUUUAUCGCAUUAAGUGUCGACAGAACUGUAAGACUUUAUUCAAAUAUCAAUGUUAAUACUCUACUACUAAGGGCAUACGAAACCCUAAUUUAUUAACUAUAAUAUAUAAUAUAUUCAUGUCACAUAACAAAACAUCACAACUUCACUUAAACUUAUCUAAUUCCGGCAAUUUCUCUUAUAAAGUUUAGACAUACCCAUAAAUAAAUAAAAUAUUUGUUCAUACAAAAUUGAAUACCAAAUUAAUUUGAUAAGGGCCAAAAAUAUUUUGCAUCCUUAAAUAUAAAAUUUAUAUUUUAAUACAAUAUUUGUUAACUAUUGUUCAUAUAAAUUCACCAUGCGCAAAAUGCAGGUUUCAUCCUAGUUAUUAUAAAAACUCAUUCGCGCAUACGCGCGGCUUAUCAUCUAUCGUCUUUUAUUUAAGGAACAGUGGAAAUAUUAAAUACCAACUUUGCGAUAUUAUCACUGAAAUUAGAUUUCUUCUCAAAUAGAGAUUAUAUUUCAUCAAGAUUCAAGAGGACCAACAUGUUAGGAAAUAUGCGAUCAAAUUUUGCGGAAAACCAGAAUUUGCGGAAUUUAGGGGAGCGGGAAAACACACACAAAAUUGUUAACGGAGUUCGGCCAGCUUUUGCCUACGUCUCCGGACCUGCUACAGAUCUUUUAUUAUCAACCCGGGAAAUUUUUACAAGCUCUCAACUCACACCCGACCCCAAAUACACUCAAGAAAUUACACUUAAUUUCUUAUAGAGAAAGAUUUUCUCACAAGAAAGAUUUUUUUUUUUUCUCUCUCUUGCUCACUCUCUUCUUCUCUUGUUUUCUCUUUGUUUUUGGGAUGGAUUUCUUCUUCUCCUUGUGUGGUUAUUUAUAGGAGAUUAUGGGGAGUUGGUGAAACUUCUUGUUGCACCUACCAAAAACACAAAAGAAAUGUGUUGUUGAAUUAAUCAACAAACAUGUUCUUGAUACAACUUCUUGUUGUACCUACCAAAAAAACAUGUUCUUUACAAUCUCCCACUUGAAGACUGAUUUUAAUCUGUCUUCACACCUUGAUCAAUGUAGCAGGUCUUCCCAGCUUGUUACUCCAACAAGCCAACUGAGGUUGCACACAACCUCAGCUUGUCAUACGGCACGACCUUCGUCAACAUGUCUGCCGGAUUCUUGCUUCCUGGGAUCUUCUCAAGCACCAACAUUUCAUCUUCUAACGCUGAUCUGAUGAAAUGAUAUCGACGAUGUAUGUGCUUUGUCCGAGCAUGGUAAACCGGAUUCUUUGCCAAAUCGAUGGCACUUUUACUGUCACAGUACAACACACCUUUCCCUUGGUCAUGGCCUAGCUCUUCUAGAAAAGACUGUAGCCAUAUCAUCUCUUUUGUUGCCUCCGUUACAGCAACAUACUCAGCUUCACAGCUUGAUAGAGAUACAAUUUUCUGCAACUUUGAAACCCAACAAAUUGCAGUACCGCCAAAGGUGUAGACAUACCCGGUUGUGCUCUUCGUGCUGUCAAUGUCACCUCCAUUGUCAGCAUCAACAUAUCCCUGCAAUCCCGUCUUAGACUUCGUGAAACAUAGCGAUAAACUUGGAUUUCCUUUUAGAUAUCUGAAAAUCCACUUAACGGCUUCCCAAUGUUCCUUCCCUGGAUUGCUCAUAAAUCUGCUAACGACUCCCACUGCAUGUGCAAUGUCUGGCCUUGUACAUAUCAUCGCGUACAUCAGGCUUCCUAUAGCAGAAGCAUAUGGAACUUUAUCCAUACAUGCCAUCUCGUCUUCCGUCUUUGGAGACUGUUCUCUGGAUAACCGAAAGUGACUUGCCAGGGGAGUACUAACUGGCUUCGCGUCAUCCAUGUUAAACCUCUUGAGGACUUUCUUCACAUACUCCUCUUGUGAUAGCUUAAGACCUUCCUUGCUCCUACUGAUUCUCAUCCCUAGAAUCUGUCUUGCUUCUCCAAGGUCUUUCAUCGCAAACUCUUCUGAGAGUUUCGUCUUCAAGCUAUUGAUCUCGUGCAAGUCUGCUCCUACUAUCAGCAUGUCAUCGACAUAUAGGAGCAAUAUCAAGUAGGACUCUUCAAGCGUCUUGAAGUAACAACAGUGGUCAGCUUCACACCUCAAGAAACCAACGCCUUUAAUAAAGUUGUCGAACCGUUUAUACCACUGUCUUGGAGCUUGUUUUAAGCCGUACAAACUCCUUUUCAGCUUGCAAACAAGGCUUUCCUUCCCUUUGAUCUCAAAGCCUUCGGGUUGCUUCAUAUAAAUUUCCUCAUCCAAAUCACCGUGAAGAAAUGCCGUCUUCACAUCCAUCUGUUGAAGAUGCAGAUCUUCUUGUGCUACCAGCCCAAGAACCGUUCUAAUGGUCACCAUCUUGACUACAGGAGAGAAGAUUUCGGUGUAGUCAACGCCUUCUUUUUGUUGGAAUCCCUUCACAACAAGCCUCGCUUUAUAGCGCUUACUCCCAUCAGGUUCUUCUUUUAUUCGGUAGACCCACUUGUUAUGCAAUGCCUUUUUCUCCUUAGGCAAAUCUGCUAACUCCCACGUGUGAUUGGAUAACAACGAGUCCAUCUCGUCGUUCAUUGCAAGCUCCCACUUGAUCGACUCAUCAACUUGCAUAGCUUCCUCAUAACAUUCAGGCUCGCCUCUGUCUGUGAGCAGAAUGUAGUUGAGCGAUGGAGAGAAUCUUACUGGCUUUCUGAUGAUUCUGCUUGACCGUCGUAACUCCGUGACUGGUGUAUAUGGGACCACUUCAGAAUCAUCACUUUCUUCAGCCUCACCACUCUCGUCUUGAGAGAUUUCUUCUUCUGCUGUUGCGGUAUCCUGUGGCAACUCCGGUGUCAGGAUAUCUUCUAAGUCAACAGCUCCAGGCUCUUUCUUCUCCGAGCCUUCUCUUAGCUUAUCCUUGUACAACGCUUCUUCGUUGAACACAACAUUCUUGCUGCGGAUGAUCUUCCGAUUUUCAUCAUCCCAAAACCGGUAACCAAACUCCGCGUUACCAUAACCGAUGAAGUAACACUUCUUAGACUUCGAGUCAAGUUUACUUCUUGCAGCAUCAUCAAUAUGAACAUAAGCUAAGCAUCCGAACACCUUUAGAUAAGAAAGAUUUACUUUCUUUCCGCUCCAAACUUCUUCAGGGAUCUUAAAUCCCAACGGUACAGACGGUCCUCUGUUUAUUAAGAAGGCUGCGGUAUUGAUUGCAUCUGCCCAAAACGUCUUUGGCAAUCCACAGUGCAAUCUCAUGCUCCUUGCACGCUCAUUCAAGGUUCGGUUCAUCCUUUCCGCUAUUCCAUUCUGUUGAGGCGUUCCAGGAAUAGUCUUCUCCAUCUUGAUCCCAUUAUCAGCGCAAUAUCUCUUGAACUCGUCGCUGAUGUACUCUCCACCAUUAUCAGACCUUAAACACUUCAACUUGAGAUUCGUCUCAAUCUCAACCAUGGCUUUCCAUAUUUUGAAAACCGAAAACACUUCAUGUUUGUUCUUCAUGAAGUAGACCCACACUUUUCUUGUGGAGUCAUCAAUAAAGGUCACAUAGUAGUACGAACCUCCCAGCGAUGCAACAGGAGCGGGUCCCCACACGUCAGUGUGCACCAGCUCUAACUUCUCAGAUUUUGGCUCUCUUCCUCCUUUAGAGAAACUAACUCGUUUCUGUUUCCCAAGGAUGCAACUUUCACACAUCUGAUGAUCCACCGUCUUCAGAUCCGGAAGAGCACCAUUUUCCACCAUGAGUUUCAUCCCUUUCUCACUCAUGUGUCCCAACCUACAAUGCCACAACUUGGUCUGUUUGGCAUUCUCGACAACAGCAACAGUGUCUUGAUAACUCGUCGUCAUAUAAAGAGUGCCUCUUUUAUGACCUCUAGCCACCACCAUGGAACCUUUCUUGACUCUCCAGGCUCCACCACCAAAAUUAACAUCGUGCCCCGUAUCAUCAAGUUGACCUACUGAAAUCAGAUUUCGCAUCAACUUUGGCACAUGUCUGACCUUCGUAAUCUUCCACACACGUCCGUCUGACAUUUUCAGGUUGAUAUCUCCAAUACCAACUAUGUCCAAAGGUAAUCCAUCAGCAAGAUAUACCUUUCCGUAAUUUCCCGCAACAUAAUUCUCCAUAAUGUUAUGGUGCGGUGUGGUGUGGAAUGACGCUCCUGAGUCAAGAACCCAUGAAUCGACUGGGCUAUCAACAUAGGAUAUUGAUGCUUUGGUGGUACUUGUAGCUGCAUCACGAGCUUCAAUUUUCCUCGGGGAAUCAACAGACACUACCAAUGCAUCAGCGAUUUCACGUGUCACUGCAUUGGCUCCGCCUCUAGUGUUGUCUUCCUUCUUCGGUGGUGCUCGGCAAUUCUUCUUGAUGUGACCUGUCUUUCCACAAUUCCAGCACUCUGCAGGCUGUCUGAAUUUGGACUGACCCCGUCCAUUCCUUGACUUCGAUCUGCCAUUACUCCGGUUAUUUCUAUCUGGGUUUCUCCCUCUGUUUUCCACGUUGAAAGCAGAGCUCGUUGAUGCCUCCCCAGAGUCUAUCCUUCGAACUUCCUCACCAAGGAUACGAUCUCUAACAUCAUUGAAUUUGAGCUUUUGAGUACCCACAGAAUUACUAACCGCUGCCCUCAUCGGCUCCCAACUAUUUGGCAGAGAUGCCAACAAAAUCAGUGCUCGCACUUCAUCAUCAAACUCGAUUUCAACCGAUGACAGUUGGUUGACAAUCGUGUUGAACUCGUUCACAUGUGCGGCAACCAGGCCACCUUCUUCCAUCUUCAAAUGAAAGAGUUUCUUCAUGAGAAAUACCUUAUUGUUUGCCGAAGGUUUCUCAUACAUGUCAGAGAGAACUUUCAUGAGCCCUUCCGUGGUCUUCUCCUUCGCAACGUUGUGAGCAACGUUUUUCGACAGUGUUAACCUUAUAACACCCAGAACUUGUCUGUCAAGGAGCUCCCACUCAUCCUGAUCCAUCUUCUCAGGCUUCUUGCUCAGCGGUUGAUGAAGCUUCUUUCCGUACAGAUAAUCUUCAAUUUGCAUUCUCCAAAAUGCAUAAUCUGUACCGUCAAAUUUCCCGAUACUAUGCGCCAAACCGUCUUCGCCUCCCAUCGUUUCUGGAACCACCGUGUAUUAGAACACCUUCGUCGACAAACCGAUGUUACUGACAAAAUUCACUACUCACGAAGUACUGUUCACGUGAAUAGUAACCCCACAAAAAAUUUGACCGAUCACCGUAACUCAGGCUCUGAUACCAGUUGUUAGGAAAUAUGCGGUCAAAUUUUGCGGAAAACCAGAAUUUGCGGAAUUUAGGGGAGCGGGAAAACACACACAAAAUUGUUAACGGAGUUCGGCCAGCUUUUGCCUACGUCUCCGGACCUGCUACAGAUCUUUUAUUAUCAACCCGGAAAAAUUUUACAAGCUCUCAACUCACACCCGACCCCAAAUACACUCAAGAAAUUACACUUAAUUUCUUAUAGAGAAAGAUUUUCUCACAAGAAAGAUUUUUUUUUUUUUCUCUCUCUCUUGCUCACUCUCUUCUUCUCUUGUUUUCUCUUUGUUUUUGGGAUGGAUUUCUUCUUCUCCUUGUGUGGUUAUUUAUAGCAGAUUAUGGGGAGUUGGUGAAACUUCUUGUUGCACCUACCAAAAAACACAAAAGAAAUGUGUUGUUGAAUUAAUCAACAAACAUGUUCUUGAUACAACUUCUUGUUGUACCUACCAAAAAAACAUGUUCUUUACACAACAACCAGUCAUAUAAAAGUAAGCUCACCCCACGAGCUUUCCAAAUUCAUCUAACACAUUAGCCCCUAACAACCAUCCAUGCCUACCACAAUACCAUAUACCUAAACUAAACUAGUGGACGCACAGAGGCACUUCUUUCACUACCAAAGCAAGACUCAAACCAACGCGGAUGUCCAACCGCAACAUACGAUUACAUGAGAGACUAAGGUUGUCGACACUUUGAACAAUGAAAGUUGCUCCUCUGUUCGAGGCCGUAAAGAUUACUUUGACCUCCCACUCCAAAAGAAUUCCUAGUUCUAUACAAAGUUCAGCACCAAAAAAAAAAAAGAAAGAGUUCAGCACCAAUGAAAUUCAAUGCUGGCCAACUAAUUUGAUUAGCAAUAGCACCACCAAACACACCAUUCAAAUUAUAAGCAAAAACCAGCUUCUUUUUUUCAAGUCGUGCAUAUUCUCUAUUGUCUAGCGAAAUACCAAUAUCCGAACUUCCAAACGAUCCUUAGCCAAGGAGAACGCUCUCUUACUAUAUUCCUGCACACAUCCGUUUUCAUCCUUGGUGAUCCAAGUAGCACCAAUUGGAUGAGUAUUUAAACAAUUAGAUCAUCGUUAAUUAGUUGAAAUUAGGAUAGCUUUCUUUUGACUAAUGCUUCAAUGUUCAACCAAAAGAUAAAUAGAAAUAUGCUUACUUUCUCAUUACUUUUUAGAUACAGACAAUUGCCUUAAACUGGUUUAUAUUGGUAGGCCAUAGAUAAAUUUGGUAGAUGGAUAGAAAAGAGUAUGAUUCUAAUAUUUUAUUUCGUGUUAGAUUGUUCUUGUGAAUCACGACUAAGUAACUAGUCGACAAAAUUAUAAUUUGGCAAAUAACAACUUUUUUUGGCGUGGAGUUUUUGGGCCAUGCUCCGAGGAGAAUAAAGUUGAGAGUCUUCAGACUUUUGGACUCCGGUUUUGCACUCAACACCUAUGUGACGCACCUAACAACAGUCUUCCACAGUAAUUGUUUACAACUAAUAUAUUUCCCAUCAAAACCGGACCAAUAUUCUUUGGGUAAUUGUGUUAAUCCAAGUGGCAGGUUUUGUAAAAUAGAAAUUUACAGAUUCUUUUCAGUUUUGUGGCCAGCGUAAUCAAAAACCUGUGACCCUCUAGUGCAUCUUGUCGUCUUUCUUACAUCGAAUAAAUAAAAACUGAAAUAUAGCUCUUACAAAUAAGAAAAGUAAAAGUUAUGAGAAACCUUUUCUACAUAUACAAGCAAAGACCAUAAGAUUUCCUCCUUUAUCUUCGUGACAAAAGUGAACAUAAUGAAAAAGAUUAUUUAAAUCAAGUCAAAUAUUGAUGCUUUUAUUGGAAGUAAAAAAAAAUCGAGAAUACUGGUAAGAGAUAAGAAUCUAUUGAGUGAACAAAUAAAUAUCUAUUUACCCUCUUGUACCUCAGUCUUAACUGUUUUUAAGUUUUGAAAAACUCUCCGAAGCAUGUGCGAUGAAAGACUAUUAUUAUUUCUAUAUUUUACAUUAAAAUAAAGUAUCUCUAUUAUAAAAUUGGAUUUACUCCGAUACUUCAGUGUUACACUAUAAUAGAGUAAAAAAACAACAUUAUUAUAUAUUUCACUUUAUUUAGUGUAACUCUAUUAUAUAGUGAACCAUCGGAAUAAAUCUAAUUCUAUAAUAGAGUUAUUUUAUUUUAGUGUAAAAUAUAGAAAAAAUAAUAGUGUUCCAUUGGAGAUGGUGUAAGACACUUGUUUUUAUUUUUAUUGGCUUAUACAUUUUUGCAUUUUUAAAUCUACUUAUACAAUUAAAAUAUAUAUUUUUUAUUGGUAAAGUAUUUAUAAGAUCUUUCUUAUCAAUAAUGAUGUUGUAAAAACUGACGAAAGUACAAACCAAACACUAGUUUUGCAUGUUUAUCACUUAUCAGGUUAGUUGUGGACUUCAAAACACAAACUAUAAUAUACGGAAAAGUGGAUUUGAUCAAAUUAAUACAUCAAUUAAUCUCACUAAACCAAGUUAAAAAGUCCAUCACACUCUUCCCCCGCGCUGUGUGUGUGUGUGCCUCUCUCUCCCCACCACUCCAUUAUCACUUUCUUUCUCUCUCUCAGAGAGAAGACAAUGCCUAUUUCUGGAGAUCCCUCGUCUUCUUCGACAACAAUCAGACACCAACCCAUGAACUUCCCACCAUUUCCCACCGCCGACGAGCCUCUAAUCCCCAAACCUAGCCGCAUCUAUAAAUCCGCCAUGUCUACCUUCUUCCUCUUACCUUCAUCAUCCAACGAACCCAACAACAGAAGAAAGGGGAAGAAACCAAACCCUUUCACCCAAACGACGUCGUCCUUUCGCAGCCUCGGCUGCACCUCCUCCGCCUCUCAGCGAGUUUCCGUCCCGGCCGUGAUCCGCUCCUCCGCGAAUUGGGACGCGAGUGAUGCCAAAAGCAAGAAGACGAAGAGCAAGGGCUGUAGCUACNNNNN
Molecule: long non-coding RNA, 44162 nt
Filed under: Brassica napus (rape)
Lineage: Eukaryota; Viridiplantae; Streptophyta; Magnoliopsida; Brassicales; Brassicaceae
Description: long non-coding RNA (BNAP_LNC018934)
Rfam family: MIR159 microRNA precursor family (bases 11753-11954)
Source: RNAcentral